GAUGAACGCUGGCGGCGCGCCUAACACAUGCAAGUCUAACGGUUAAAGCACCUUUUAGGUGUGUAUAAAGUGGCGAACGGCUGAGUAACACGUGGGCAACCUGCCCUCCUCUUGGGGAUAGCCUCGGGAAACCGAGGAUAAUACCCGAUACUUCAAUGUGGCCGCAUGACGACAUUGAGAAAGCUUUUGCGGAGAAGGAUGGGCCCGCGGCCUGUUAGCUUGUUGGUGGGGUAGAGGCCUACCAAGGCAAUGAUGGGUAGCUGGGUUGAGAGACCGACCAGCCAGAUUGGGACUGAGACACGGCCCAGACUCCUACGGGAGGCAGCAGUGGGGAAUCUUGCACAAUGGGCGAAAGCCUGAUGCAGCGACGCCGCGUGCGGGACGAAGGCCUUCGGGUUGUAAACCGCUUUCAGCAGGGACGAGGCGAUAAGUGACGGUACCUGCAGAAGAAGCCCCGGCUAACUACGUG
Molecule: ribosomal RNA, 469 nt
Filed under: uncultured bacterium
Lineage: Bacteria
Description: partial 16S ribosomal RNA
Rfam family: Bacterial small subunit ribosomal RNA
Source: RNAcentral